Salarias fasciatus (jewelled blenny) is the source of this 351-nucleotide long non-coding RNA. RefSeq lists it as uncharacterized. The record is from RefSeq and is a predicted model, not a curated record. Lineage: Eukaryota; Metazoa; Chordata; Actinopteri; Blenniiformes; Blenniidae. The transcript is spliced from 4 exons.
CAACAGUCCAACCAGCAAACCAUGAAGUGAAGAACUGAGUUCAGAUUCUCAACUUUCAGUCGACUGUCAGAGAAGGAGGAGCAGCCUGACUGAAGAUGAGUGAUGUGGGUGAAGAGGAGGACAGAGCAGAGUCUGUGGACAGGGAAGAGACGCCAGCUGCUCCUGCAGAGUCCAGAAGCCAAAACCUCAGACACACACAGUCUUCAGGAUCCAGCAGUUUGUCUCUGAGGAGUGAGCGGUCCAAACAUUUUCUACUGAGCUUCAAUAGUGAACUCGGAUCUUCAGACACAAAAGAGAAGAAGAGCAGUGAUGUCUGUGAGGAGCAGCAGGACCAGGGUUCUUCAUCAGGAC